UCUGCUUUGAGCAGUUACGCGCCAGCUCCCAUGGCAUGCGUGUGUAUUUGCUUCGUCCUGUGUGCCGCUUAUUAAUAAGGUGCGACGAUGAGGUGUGUAAACAUUUUCAGUCGGAACACGGAAUAUCCAGAGCACGCUAUUUUCCGGAAGGACGGCGAGAAAACCCGUGGAAGCUUCUUUCUGGAAGUGCUUCAAGAGCAGAACAGAGGAAGGCGAAGAAACCAGAAAGAAAAUGAAGAGUGUCUGAAAAAUAUUUAGAACCUGAUGACCUCAAUACCAAUAAAAAGUAUUUGAACACGAC
Ornithodoros turicata is the source of this 301-nucleotide long non-coding RNA. RefSeq lists it as uncharacterized. The record is from RefSeq and is a predicted model, not a curated record. The transcript is spliced from 3 exons. NCBI's taxonomy places the organism in Eukaryota, Metazoa, Arthropoda, Arachnida, Ixodida, Argasidae.